This is a long non-coding RNA of Syngnathus acus (greater pipefish), 644 nucleotides long. RefSeq lists it as uncharacterized. NCBI's taxonomy places the organism in Eukaryota, Metazoa, Chordata, Actinopteri, Syngnathiformes, Syngnathidae. The transcript has 2 exons. The record is from RefSeq and is a predicted model, not a curated record.
ACUUAAAAACAAUGCCCUUGCUGACUCCGGAAGUACAUGCGGCGCUGACGUCAGACUCAUCUUCAGUUGCGGUUCCAAAUAUUCCACAGGCCUAGAGCGCCCUCAUGCGGUUUAGUGUGAAAAUAAAAUGUGAAUUGAUAUACAGGGUCCGGCAAAAAGAUUUGACACAAUUGUAGGUUUAAUAAAAUGCAAAUAAAUUAAAGAAACAAAAAGGGGUUUUUUUCAUUUUCGAUAAGUACAUGUAAUGCCAUUUUUGGUUCGUUUUGUUUUGUUUCAUUUCAUUUCGUUUUUUUGAACAAUGUUAUUUUGGUCUUACCACUGCCACAUUUUCUGGAGUUCUGGCGGUGCGAGGUCAGCCGGUUGAUUUUCGUUUCAAUGCUGAUCCACUGGCUCUGAAGUUCGUAACCCAUAACAAGAUCAUGUUUAGAGCAGGUACGGGAUCAUGUCUACCAAGUCUGAAGCGCAAACGGAACACUCGUGUUACUGUUACAGAUUUGUUCUUGAUUAAUGUUUCCACAAUGAAAGCGCGCUGCUCACCGGUCCAAUUCAUGUUAGCAACUGAAACGAAAUAAAAUAACAUUAUUCGAAAAGAAAAUGAAAUGAAACGAAACAAAACAAAACAAAAUGGCAUUAUAUGUACUUUU